RNAcentral lists this transfer RNA (88 nucleotides) under Aeromonas caviae. RNAcentral's name for it is "tRNA-Ser". It matches the Rfam family "tRNA". Rfam says of the family: Transfer RNA (tRNA) molecules are approximately 80 nucleotides in length. Their secondary structure includes four short double-helical elements and three loops (D, anti-codon, and T loops). The record is from RNAcentral. Lineage: Bacteria; Pseudomonadati; Pseudomonadota; Gammaproteobacteria; Aeromonadales; Aeromonadaceae.
GGUGNNNNGUCCGAGUGGCUGAAGGAGCACGCCUGGAAAGUGUGUAUACGGCAACGUAUCGAGGGUUCGAAUCCCUCCCUCACCGCCA